Molecule: ribosomal RNA, 776 nt
Filed under: Staphylococcus aureus
Lineage: Bacteria; Bacillati; Bacillota; Bacilli; Caryophanales; Staphylococcaceae
Description: partial 23S ribosomal RNA
Rfam family: Bacterial large subunit ribosomal RNA
Source: RNAcentral
CUGGGAGGACCAUCUCCUAAGGCUAAAUACUCUCUAGUGACCGAUAGUGAACCAGUACCGUGAGGGAAAGGUGAAAAGCACCCCGGAAGGGGAGUGAAAUAGAACCUGAAACCGUGUGCUUACAAGUAGUCAGAGCCCGUUAAUGGGUGAUGGCGUGCCUUUUGUAGAAUGAACCGGCGAGUUACGAUUUGAUGCAAGGUUAAGCAGUAAAUGUGGAGCCGUAGCGAAAGCGAGUCUGAAUAGGGCGUUUAGUAUUUGGUCGUAGACCCGAAACCAGGUGAUCUACCCUUGGUCAGGUUGAAGUUCAGGUAACACUGAAUGGAGGACCGAACCGACUUACGUUGAAAAGUGAGCGGAUGAACUGAGGGUAGCGGAGAAAUUCCAAUCGAACCUGGAGAUAGCUGGUUCUCUCCGAAAUAGCUUUAGGGCUAGCCUCAAGUGAUGAUUAUUGGAGGUAGAGCACUGUUUGGACGAGGGGCCCCUCUCGGGUUACCGAAUUCAGACAAACUCCGAAUGCCAAUUAAUUUAACUUGGGAGUCAGAACAUGGGUGAUAAGGUCCGUGUUCGAAAGGGAAACAGCCCAGACCACCAGCUAAGGUCCCAAAAUAUAUGUUAAGUGGAAAAGGAUGUGGCGUUGCCCAGACAACUAGGAUGUUGGCUUAGAAGCAGCCAUCAUUUAAAGAGUGCGUAAUAGCUCACUAGUCGAGUGACACUGCGCCGAAAAUGUACCGGGGCUAAACAUAUUACCGAAGCUGUGGAUUGUCCUUUGGACAAUG